This 250-nucleotide unclassified non-coding RNA is filed under the name plant metagenome. Its description in RNAcentral is "partial contains small subunit ribosomal RNA, internal transcribed spacer 1, and 5.8S ribosomal RNA". The record is from RNAcentral.
GUAGGUGAACCUGCGGAAGGAUCAUUACCGAGCGUAGGGUGCGUCUAGCCCCGAAACUCCCUACCCCGUGCGUUACAACACCCCGUUGCUUCGGCGGGUCCGCCUCCUCUCCCGGGAAGGGCGGCUCGCCGGAGGACCGUUUCCGAAACCCUCGCGAAAACCCUUACCUUUCGGAGUCUUACCACCGCGCGCCGGUGGCUUGAGAAAUCAAACAAAAACUUUCAACAACGGAUCUCUUGGUUCUGGCAUC